AGCCUUCUGUAUCUGUGCUGAGAGUUCGUCAUACACCAGACCACAAGGGUUGAUGAGACUUCCAAGAUAAGUGAAGCG
Molecule: non-coding RNA, 78 nt
Organism: Schistosoma curassoni
Lineage: Eukaryota; Metazoa; Platyhelminthes; Trematoda; Strigeidida; Schistosomatidae
Source: Rfam